RNAcentral lists this ribosomal RNA (658 nucleotides) under uncultured Lachnospiraceae bacterium. RNAcentral describes it as "bacterial SSU rRNA". It matches the Rfam family "Bacterial small subunit ribosomal RNA", at positions 48 to 718 of the family's 1533-position model. The record is from RNAcentral. Lineage: Bacteria; Bacillati; Bacillota; Clostridia; Lachnospirales; Lachnospiraceae.
CUAACACAUGCAAGUCGAACGAAGAGAGAGGGAGCUUGCUUCCUUGAUCGAGUGGCGAACGGGUGAGUAACGCGUGAGGAACCUGCAUCAAAGAGGGGGACAACAGUUGGAAACGACUGCUAAUACCGCAUAAGCCCACAACCCGGCAUCGGGAAGAGGGAAAAGGAGCAAUCCGCUUUGAGAUGGCCUCGCGUCCGAUUAGCUAGUUGGUGAGGUAACGGCCCACCAAGGCGACGAUCGGUAGCCGGACUGAGAGGUUGAACGGCCACAUUGGGACUGAGACACGGCCCAGACUCCUACGGGAGGCAGCAGUGGGGAAUAUUGCACAAUGGGGGAAACCCUGAUGCAGCGACGCCGCGUGGAGGAAGAAGGUCUUCGGAUUGUAAACUCCUGUUGUUGAGGAAGAUAAUGACGGUACUCAACAAGGAAGUGACGGCUAACUACGUGCCAGCAGCCGCGGUAAAACGUAGGUCACAAGCGUUGUCCGGAAUUACUGGGUGUAAAGGGAGCGCAGGCGGGCGAUCAAGUUGGAAGUGAAAUCCAUGGGCUCAACCCAUGAACUGCUUUCAAAACUGGUCGUCUUGAGUAGUGCAGAGGUAGGCGGAAUUCCCGGUGUAGCGGUGGAAUGCGUAGAUAUCGGGAGGAACACCAGUGGCGA